GCCGAGGAUAAUCAGGAAAAAGGCAAAAUUAUUGAUUAGUACUUGCAAUUCAACUUGUCUGUUAAUUUAAUCAAGUAAGUUCAUAUAGUGUGUCCUGUUUAAAUUGUUUUGUAUUUGAAAUCAUGAUUAUAUAUAUGUAUAAUUGAAAUUUGGAUUGUUUACGGUUUGGUACAAAAUGUGAUAUUUGUAUUGAAUUGUAAAUAAAUGAAUAUGAACUUAUAUGUUGGAAUUACCCUGAUGAAGUUAGUAAAGGCCUUCUACACAUGGAUACAGAUUAA
This 278-nucleotide long non-coding RNA is filed under the name Gossypium barbadense (sea-island cotton). Its description in RNAcentral is "long non-coding RNA (GBAR_LNC021872)". Lineage: Eukaryota; Viridiplantae; Streptophyta; Magnoliopsida; Malvales; Malvaceae. The record is from RNAcentral.